RNAcentral lists this ribosomal RNA (421 nucleotides) under uncultured bacterium. RNAcentral's name for it is "partial 16S ribosomal RNA". It matches the Rfam family "Bacterial small subunit ribosomal RNA", at positions 361 to 774 of the family's 1533-position model. The record is from RNAcentral.
AUCAUCCGCAAUGGACGGAAGUCUGACGGUGCAACGCCGCGUGAGCGACGAAGGUUUUCGGAUCGUAAAGCUCUGUUGUGAGGGAAGAACAAGGAUAGGAGUAACUGUCUAUCCCUUGACGGUACCUCACCAGAAAGCCACGGCUAACUACGUGCCAGCAGCCGCGGUAAUACGUAGGUGGCAAGCGUUGUCCGGAAUUAUUGGGCGUAAAGCGCACGCAGGCGGUCCUUUAAGUCUGAUGUGAAAGCCCACGGCUCAACCGUGGAGGGUCAUUGGAAACUGGGGGACUUGAGUGCAGAAGAGGAAAGUGGAAUUCCAAGUGUAGCGGUGAAAUGCGUAGAGAUUUGGAGGAACACCAGUGGCGAAGGCGACUUUCUGGUCUGUAACUGACGCUGAGGCGCGAAAGCGUGGGGAGCAAACA